AACGUAGGUGGCAAGCGUUAUCCGGAAUUACUGGGCGUAAAGGGUGUGCAGGCGGGGAAGCAAGUGGUGUUUGAAAUCUCCCAGCUUAACUGGGAUAGGUUAUGCCAGACUGCUUUUCUAGAGGACGAGAGAGGGGGGUGGAAUUCCGGGUGUAGUGGUGAAAUGCGCAGAUAUCGGGAAGAACACCCGUGGCGAAGGCGGCUCUCUGGGACGGUACUGACGCUGAGACGCGAAAGCGUGGGGAGCGAACAGG
This 253-nucleotide ribosomal RNA is filed under the name uncultured bacterium. RNAcentral describes it as "partial 16S ribosomal RNA". It matches the Rfam family "Bacterial small subunit ribosomal RNA", at positions 524 to 776 of the family's 1533-position model. The record is from RNAcentral.